This 755-nucleotide small RNA is filed under the name Pongo abelii (Sumatran orangutan). RNAcentral describes it as "retained intron". Lineage: Eukaryota; Metazoa; Chordata; Mammalia; Primates; Hominidae. The record is from RNAcentral.
UGGUGACUGGAAGCUGCAUCCAGAUGGUGGCAGAGGAAGCCAUGUGCCACUAUGAAGACAUCCGUUCCCAUGGCAAUACACUGCUCAGCGCCGCAGCCGCAGCCCUGUGUGCUGGGGAGCCAGGUCCUGAGGGCCUCCUCAUCGUCAACACGCUGCCCUGGAAGCGGACCGAAGUGAUGGCCCUGCCCAAACCAGGCGGGGCCCACAGCCUAGCCCUGGUGACAGUGCCCAGCAUGGGCUAUGCUCCUGUUCCUCCCCCGACCUCGCUGCAGCCCCUGCUGCCCCAGCAGCCUGUGUUCGUAGUGCAAGAGACUGACGGCUCCGUGACUCUGGACAAUGGCAUCAUCCGAGUGAAGCUGGACCCAACUGGCCGCCUGACGUCCUUGGUCCUGGUGGCCUCUGGCAGGGAGGCCAUUGCCGAGGGUGCCGUGGGGAACCAGUUUGUGCUAUUUGAUGAUGUCCCCUUGUACUGGGAUGCAUGGGACGUCAUGGACUACCACCUGGAGACACGGUAUGGGCUGGGCAGCAUGUGGGGAUGGUGGAGGUAGUGGGAACACAGGCUGCUCUGGAUCAGUAUGUCCACCCCUGUCCCAUAGGAAGCCUGUGCUGGGCCAGGCAGGGACCCUGGCAGUGGGCACCGAGGGCGGCCUGCGGGGCAGCGCCUGGUUCUUGCUACAGAUCAGCCCCAACAGUCGGCUUAGCCAGGAGGUUGUGCUGGACGUUGGCUGCCCCUAUGUCCGCUUCCACACCGAGGU